CACGGGGGGAGCAAGCGUUGUUCGGAAUCACUGGGCGUAAAGGGCGUGUAGGCGGUUCGGUAAGUGAGAUGUGAAAUCCUCCGGCUCACCCGGAGACCUGCAUCUCAAACUGCCGGACUAGAGUAUGGGAGAGGACAAGGGAAUUCCUGGUGUAGCGGUGAAAUGCGCAGAUAUCAGGAGGAACACCGGUGGCGAAGGCGGAUCUCUGGGCCUUACCUGACGCUCAGGUGCGAAAGCUAGGGGAGCGAACAGG
RNAcentral lists this ribosomal RNA (253 nucleotides) under uncultured bacterium. Its description in RNAcentral is "partial 16S ribosomal RNA". It matches the Rfam family "Bacterial small subunit ribosomal RNA", at positions 524 to 776 of the family's 1533-position model. The record is from RNAcentral.